RNAcentral lists this long non-coding RNA (1107 nucleotides) under Zostera marina. RNAcentral describes it as "long non-coding RNA (ZMAR_LNC000781)". Lineage: Eukaryota; Viridiplantae; Streptophyta; Magnoliopsida; Alismatales; Zosteraceae. The record is from RNAcentral.
CUUUAUUUUCUGAGUAACAGACUUCUUGAAGCAAACCAAUCCCAAUUGAGUUGCCUGAUUGUAUGUCGGAAUUCCAGAUCGAUGGCGAAUUAAUUAGAUGAUUAACUGGAAAAUUAUGUUAGAUAAUGAUUUUAAAAAAGUAUAGAAGAAUAAAAUUUAAUUUGUUCAACUGUUUGUUUGUCAUAAUAAUAACUUCUACUUCUUUGAGGUUUCAUUAUUCUCUUCUUUUUCUUUAUUCGAAGAAUCAUAGAAACAAUCAGAACCCUUGCCUAAUUUAGCAGUUGCCUUCUUUUAAUUUUUUUCUUCAAAGACGAAAUCUUCAGAGUAUCAGACGUACUCAGCUUUUUAGCAGAACUAGACUUCUUUUUCUCAGAUUUCUUGAAAGAUUUAUUUGAAACCUUGUUUUACUUUUAGUUUUUUUCUUCACAAUUGCAUUUGUAUCUUCUUCAAAUGCCUCAGGUACUUCUUCUUCAGAUGCAUCAUGUACUUCUUCCUCAAUAACAUCAAAAUCUUUCCGAUCUUUAUUCGAUCUCCUUCUUUUAUUAUCUUUUGCCAUGAUAUUUUUCAGUGUCCUGUUGAAAUCAAGUGUCUUUUUUCAAUGCGAUUUAUUGGCAUCUUCUUGUUCUAUAGAAAUAUUGAAAAAUUAAUUCAGGUGGUUUUUAAUUUAAAAUAUAAAUUGUUAGAUUUGUGUAUGAUGAUGAUGGCUGAAUCGGAUUAGCCUUUAAGUUAUAAUUGGAAUUGUAUAUGAUGUUUGAUAUUUAAACCUGAAUGAAUACAUUAUGUGAAUGUAAACAGUUGAUGUUUAUUAAUAUAAAUGUUGAAUAUGAAUAUUGAAUGUAAAUAGAUAACAAUACAAAUUCAGGAGCGAUUGAGAGAUGAUGAAACUGAAUCAGAUCGAAAGAGCUAAGACAGUUGUUGCAGAUUGAAGAACUGGAUGUUUCUGAUGUAAGUGAUUUGAAAAUGAACUGAGAUACUUUAAACUGAUGUUGAAGUUGUAGAGAUGAACUGAAUGAAUUUAUGAGAGCUAGUGUUCUUGAUCUUCAAUCCAAUUGAUAAAUAUUUUGAAUCGAAGAAGUAUUUGGUUGAGUGGUGUUAAUCUGAAUUUAU